RNAcentral lists this transfer-messenger RNA (363 nucleotides) under Borreliaceae. Its description in RNAcentral is "Borrelia sp021165755 Standard tmRNA". It matches the Rfam family "transfer-messenger RNA". Rfam says of the family: Bacterial tmRNA, also known as 10Sa RNA or SsrA, is named for its dual tRNA and mRNA-like properties. Its role is to liberate the mRNA from a stalled ribosome. Lineage: Bacteria; Pseudomonadati; Spirochaetota; Spirochaetia; Spirochaetales. The record is from RNAcentral. RNAcentral also lists the same sequence under 1 other name.
GGGGAUGUUUUGGAUUUGACUAAAAGGUUUGGUAGUAUGAGUUGCAGGCAGAGUGAAUCUCUUAAAACUUCUUUAAUAAAUGCAAAAAAUAAUAACUUUGCAAGUUCAAAUCUUGUAAUGGCUGCUUAGGUUAGCAGAGAGUUUUGUUGAAUUUUGCUUUGAGGUUCGGCUUACACUCUUUAAAGACAUCGAAGCUUGCCUAGGAAUGCUUCAAGUUGCGUUUUUAGGGACUUUUAAACUUGGAAGUAACUUGACGGUUCCGCCAGAGUCUCCGUCUCUUUACUCACCAAAACACUGGCUAAGCUUGUAGACACUUGUGGUAUUACUUUUAGGACGCGGGUUCGAGUCCCGCCAUCUCCAUGU